This 468-nucleotide long non-coding RNA is filed under the name Equus caballus (horse). RNAcentral describes it as "lncRNA (ENSECAG00000057837.1)". Lineage: Eukaryota; Metazoa; Chordata; Mammalia; Perissodactyla; Equidae. The record is from RNAcentral.
CUUCUAUGUGGGAUGCCACCUGAGCGUGUCUUGACAAGCAGUACUAGGUCUGCGUCCAUGAUCCGAACCGGCAAGGCCCAGGCUACUGAAGCAGAGCGUGUGAACUUAACCACUAUGCCACCGUGCCGGCCCCUGUAAUGUAUAGUCCCACCUGGAAGGUUUCAAAGGUGAAUAUUCAAAUGCAAUAAGUAUGAACUCAGCAGGGAAGGCAGCCUUCACCCUGCUGGAGCCUACAUUCUUCCUUCCUCUGUCCUCCAGCUCCUCUAAAGCAACUAUUUAUUUUGGAAGCUCUGCUUUGUCGGAAAAGAAUUAACUCUUCAAAGCUCUGGUCCCUAUGAUCAUCUUAAAACAUUCUUACGAUCCUACACAAUCCUCGAGCCCAGUCUGAGAAACUUUGGCUGAACUAUGGAUGUUCACUGUGAGCUCUGGAUGAGGCCAUAGUCAUUGUCAGCUGUGCAGUAGUAUCCC